RNAcentral lists this ribosomal RNA (374 nucleotides) under uncultured organism. Its description in RNAcentral is "partial 16S ribosomal RNA". It matches the Rfam family "Bacterial small subunit ribosomal RNA", at positions 527 to 896 of the family's 1533-position model. The record is from RNAcentral.
GUAGGUGGCAAGCGUUGUCCGGAAUUAUUGGGCGUAAAGCGCGCGCAGGUGGUUCUUUAAGUCUGAUGUGAAAGCCCCCGGCUCAACCGGGGAGGGUCAUUGGAAACUGGGGAACUUGAGUGCAGGAGAGGAAAGUGGAAUUCCACGUGUAGCGGUGAGAUGCGUAGAUAUGUGGAGGAACACCAGUGGCGAAGGCGACUUUCUGGCCUGUAACUGACACUGAGGCGCGAAAGCGUGGGGAGCAAACAGGGAUUAGAUACCCUGGUAGUCCACGCCGUAAACGAUGAGUGCUAAGUGUUGGGGGGGUUUCCCGCCCCUCAGUGCUGCAGCUAACGCAUUAAGCACUCCGCCUGGGGAGUACGGUCGCAAGACUG